Molecule: long non-coding RNA, 1424 nt
Filed under: Rhinopithecus bieti (black snub-nosed monkey)
Lineage: Eukaryota; Metazoa; Chordata; Mammalia; Primates; Cercopithecidae
Description: lncRNA (ENSRBIG00000045714.1)
Source: RNAcentral
CUGAAAUCAGAGAGGGUAAACCACUACAAAUCAUCCUCUGAUUGUGGUCCCUCGAGUUUCCCAUAUCACGGGAAAAAGAUAAGAUAAUCUAAGGCUUCUGAAGGGGCUGUAGCCAUGUAUUCAGCAUUCAUUUAAUGAGAAUAUAAUUCCAGUGGCUCUGGUAUCUGCCUUAAAAUGAGUUUACAGUUUUGGAGAUGGUGCAGAACAUGUCUGAGGCAUAUAUAAAACAAGAAGAGGCUAGGGCAGAAUGUCUUAAUUCCAGGGAGCAUGAGGCUACUGACCUUGCAGCAUGAACAGAGCUGAUGAGUGAAGGCAGUGAGAUCACCAAGACUGUCACUUCGGAAGGGGCCCAGAGCCCAGCUGUGCUGCAUGUCGAUACAAAACUCGUGUACAGAUAUUCAGCCAGCAUGCACCAACUGUGGGCGAAAGAAAUUACUUUCACUGUGUUUCUGACCCACCUGCUCUCUGUGGCUUUGUCCGCAGGAGGAGGAAGAAAGUGGUUUCUGGUCCCUGGCACUGUUUACUGCUGGGGGAAUUAUGGUGAAGCCCUCAGUAGAGAAGUAGCUGGUUUAGUAGGAGACCAAAGCUGCACUGCUUUCGACUUUGCUGCCACAGGACAUCAGGUACUGGACAACUAGUCUAAGGACAACUGUCCGUGGUGCUGGAAACAGUUCUGCAUAGAAUCUUUGAAGAAUCCUUGAGGGUUUUAUGAUGGGAGCACUGACAUUACUAAGAAGCUCACAAUUAGAAAACUGGAGCAAUGGACCCAAGACAUACGGCCUUUUCUCUCUCCUCACUGCUUUAUUCUCCUUCUUCUCUCUCAUUUCCCCUCCCCCUCUAUCCAGACCUCUCUGCAUAAGUGUGAUUUCAAUAGCUCCCCAUGGUAUUUCCUCUCUUCCCUUUGGUGGUCACACUUUCCUAAGAGUUAUACACAUUUCAAAUCAGGGCCAGUGCAUGGUAUUGUGGGCCAUCCUCUAUUUCAGAGCCAGACAGACGUGGCAGCUGGACUGUGAAAUGUCACUUUGAUGAGAGCGUGGUUGGACCACAUCAUCCGGAAAGCAUAACAUGACUGUAGGCAUGAGCCCAGCUCAGGUCUAGUGAGGGCAUAUUCUCCUUCUGGGAAUCAUUACAACAGCUCAAAUCUCAAAAAAAUCAAAUAAAAUAUGAUUUCCCACCUGGUGGAUAAUAAUAAACAGUGAUUGCCCACCUGUUGCUCAUGGGCUCUGCAACUAUUAGGUGUCUGCCUUACCUCCUGGUACCAGAUGAUUUUCCAACAAUUUGAAACUUCCUCUGCAUUUUCCUCUGCAAAAAUAAUGUCAGUAAGGUUUCAGGAUGUGCAAAGAUAUAAUAUUAUAGCCAAAGGAAAGAUUGCGACUCAAGACAGGCAUGAAAUGGCAAUCGUGACAGUGAUGUCUUGAAGAGAU